This 24-nucleotide unclassified non-coding RNA is filed under the name Mus musculus (house mouse). RNAcentral's name for it is "oocyte_clustered_small_RNA12916". Lineage: Eukaryota; Metazoa; Chordata; Mammalia; Rodentia; Muridae. The record is from RNAcentral.
GAUGUGAGGAGUGUGCUAGGUAGG